This 460-nucleotide ribosomal RNA is filed under the name uncultured bacterium. RNAcentral describes it as "partial 16S ribosomal RNA". It matches the Rfam family "Bacterial small subunit ribosomal RNA", at positions 338 to 795 of the family's 1533-position model. The record is from RNAcentral.
CCUACGGGAGGCAGCAGUGAGGAAUAUUGGUCAAUGGGCGCGAGCCUGAACCAGCCAAGUAGCGUGAAGGAUGACUGCCCUACGGGUUGUAAACUUCUUUUAUAAAGGAAUAAAGUGAGGCACGCGUGCCUUUUUGUAUGUACUUUAUGAAUAAGAAUCGGCUAACUCCGUGCCAGCAGCCGCGGUAAUACGGAGGAUCCGAGCGUUAUCCGGAUUUAUUGGGUGUAAAGGGAGCGUAGAUGGGUUGUUAAGUCAGUUGUGAAAGUUUGCGGCUUAACCGUAAAAUUGCAAUUGAUACUGGCAGGCUGGAGUACAGUUGAGGUAGGCGGAAUUCGUGGUGUAGCGGUGAAAUGCUUAGAUAUUACGAAGAACUCCGAUUGCGAAGGCAGCUUACUAAACUGCAACUGACAUUGAGGCUCGAAAGUGUGGGUAUCAAACAGGAUUAGAUACCCGAGUAGUC